This 301-nucleotide ribosomal RNA is filed under the name uncultured bacterium. Its description in RNAcentral is "partial 16S ribosomal RNA". It matches the Rfam family "Bacterial small subunit ribosomal RNA", at positions 509 to 809 of the family's 1533-position model. The record is from RNAcentral.
CAGCAACCGCGGUAAUACGGAGGAUCCAAGCGUUAUCCGGAAUCAUUGGGUUUAAAGGGUCCGUAGGCGGUCUUGUAAGUCAGUGGUGAAAGCCCAUCGCUCAACGGUGGAACGGCCAUUGAUACUGCAGGACUUGAAUUAUUGGGAAGUAACUAGAAUAUGUAGUGUAGCGGUGAAAUGCUUAGAGAUUACAUGGAAUACCAAUUGCGAAGGCAGGUUACUACCAAUUGAUUGACGCUGAUGGACGAAAGCGUGGGUAGCGAACAGGAUUAGAUACCCGUGUAGUCCCUGUCUCUUAUAU